Molecule: long non-coding RNA, 583 nt
Filed under: Mytilus galloprovincialis (Mediterranean mussel)
Lineage: Eukaryota; Metazoa; Mollusca; Bivalvia; Mytilida; Mytilidae
Source: RNAcentral
AUUGUGCUUAAUACACCAUAUUUGUGACAACAUAUGAAAAGUGUGAGCUGACAGUCUGCUAAGUUUUUAUCCAUAAGUCUCAUUCUGACUUUCUAUCUGAAAGGUUUUUAUGUGUCAAUAUUUGUGUUUCAAUAUAAAAGGAAGAUGUGGUAUGAUAAUUGAUUGUUAAUGAGGCAACUCUCCGCAAUAGACCAAAAGACACAGAAGUUAACAGCUACAGAUCAAAAGCAGUUAUUGCAUAGUGAGCUGUAAAAGGCCCUUCAAUUACUAAUGAAAAACAAUUCAAAUGAGAAAACUGAAGGCAUAUUAAUGUACAAAUGAUGAACAAAAAAAAAUAUGUGACACAACAAAAGACAACCACUAUCUGAAUUACAGGUUCAUAACUUGGGACAGGCACAUACAUAAUGUUGUGGGGUAAAUGUUUGAAGGUGACAACCCUUCCCCUUAACCUGGGACAGUGGUGUAAAUUGGUACAACAUAGAGGUUUUAUCAAUUUGUAUUAAUCAUUUUUGAACUCUAAAUCUAGCGAAAAGUAGAUUAUCACAGAUAAAUUUGCAGAAUGAGUUGUAUGAAUAGUCGGGAC